RNAcentral lists this ribosomal RNA (406 nucleotides) under uncultured bacterium. RNAcentral describes it as "partial 16S ribosomal RNA". It matches the Rfam family "Bacterial small subunit ribosomal RNA", at positions 29 to 526 of the family's 1533-position model. The record is from RNAcentral.
AUUGAACGCUGGCGGCAGGCCUAACACAUGCAAGUCGAACGAGUGGCGGACGGGUGAGUAAUGUCUGGGAAACUGCCCGAUGGAGGGGGAUAACUCCUGGAAACGGUAGCUAAUACCGCAUACCAUCGGAUGGGCCCAGAUGGGAUUAGCUAGUAGGUGGGGUAACGGCUCACCUAGGCGACGAUCCCUAGCUGGUCUGAGCGGAUGACCAGCAACAUUGGGACGGGGAUACGGACCGAACUCCUACGGGAGGCAGCAGUGGGGAAUAUUGCACAACGGGGGAAACCGUGAUGCAGCAACGCCGCGUGCGGGAUGACGGCCAUCGGUUUGUAAACCGCUUUCAGCCAUGACGCGGUAGUGGCAGAAGAAGCACCGGCUAACUCCGUGCCAGCAGCCGCGGUAAUUC